UUAUAAAUUGUUUCUUUCAUGUUUAUAUGAGACUAUAUACGCACAUGAUUCUUGAGUCCGGUUAGAGGCUUGGUUGAGUUGAGUCAAAUUAACUCCAUGAAGUGGAGAAUAUUGGAUGCUUCUCGUCUUUCUUAUUCGUUGUGAAAGGUAAGAUCAUUCUCAUUUGCCUCUCUCAAAACAGAAACUAUUUUUUUUUAUCAUAGAGGAAUUAUAUGAUACUUAAGCUUGGAUUGUUGAAUUCCCUAAGACUAAAAAAUGGUAUUUAAUGAGUUCAAAGGCUUAAGACGUUCAAAAUGAAAUACUAGAGGUACGCAAAUGAAUUUUGGUCUAGCUGUAAGUCUUUUGCAAAAUGGAAAGACAUAUAAUAAAAAAAUAUCAUAGAUUGUACAUGAACAAGGAAACUCAAUACAUUGUGCAAAGACAUUUAUUAAAAAAAAUAAAAUAAAAUUGUACAUAAACAAUGAAACUCAUUCAACAGUAUUCUCCUUAUUCUGAUGCUUACAAUUGGUGGAUGGUUUUUUGUUUUGUUGCAGAUGGUGUAUGACUGGGAUUCUCUUCAGCCGUGAGUGAUGACAAAAGUAGUGAUUCAGAUUACAGAAUCUGUAAAUUAGUGAAAAUUUCAGCAGUCUACUAGCUGACUAUCAAAUCAGCUUCUCUUUGAUGGUGUCAUGGUGGUGAAUUAGAACUUCUGCUUCAGUAGAUUAACCUUCCAGAUUCCAAAUGAUUAUGUCUCAUGUAUUCUAUAUUCUCGAAUCUCGCUGCUGUGUUUGUUAGUAGCUGCUCUUAUGCUUUUUGUUAUGACCUUAAGGGGUUUCCAUAGAAUAUCGUUUUUGUAGUCUUGUAGACAUGCCUCCUGCACAAUUUCUGAUCUCUUGUGAAAGUUGAAGCAAGGCAAAUGAUGAUUUAUAAAAGCUUUUAUUUAUCUCGUGUA
This 931-nucleotide long non-coding RNA is filed under the name Aquilegia coerulea. RNAcentral's name for it is "long non-coding RNA (ACOE_LNC000207)". Lineage: Eukaryota; Viridiplantae; Streptophyta; Magnoliopsida; Ranunculales; Ranunculaceae. The record is from RNAcentral.